AGAUCAUUACAGGGUUAAUUUUAAGCUUCUAACUUAAAUAGAUAUGGUUCAAUUCCAUAUAUGAUCUU
This 68-nucleotide transfer RNA is filed under the name Clymenella torquata (bamboo worm). RNAcentral's name for it is "tRNA-Ser". Lineage: Eukaryota; Metazoa; Annelida; Polychaeta; Maldanidae. The record is from RNAcentral.